AUGACCGACUGUUCGCGUUACUAGUCGUCACAACGGGCACAUAAAUAGCACCGAGGUGUCAUUCAGUCGAGGGAAGAGUGGGGUGGGGUGGGGGUAUCAGCUGUGCGUGAACACGUGUGACCAUACAGGACGGAGGAACCGUGCGACCUGUCCAUCACUCGCUUACCUGACGGAUACUCCAAUUACAGUCACACCACCAACUAUCACCGUGAAUGAGUCCCACCCAGCCUUCUGUGCAGUGGGAGCUGGACUUUUCGGGAGGAAACCGGCCACAGAUUAUGGAGCUGCCCACUCUCCUCCAUCCAAUACCAAAUUCGAGAAUGCGUGGAGCCUCUGCAUACCUUACAAGUCUUCUUCAUAGCACGAUGUUCAGAUACAAAGAACAGAAUACUGAAGAGAAUGUUUCGAUUUGGGACAGCAAGGAUCAGGAAAAUGACAAAAGUAUCGCCAUUGAUCGCUUCACAAUUUGUCUGAUUAAUCAAAUAUUAUACGAAUUUUCAAACAAAGGAUGAGUACAACCCGGAGGACAAGACAUUCUUAAACAACGCCUGCAAUUAAAUUGUGUUGUUCAAACUGGAUGUUUAUAGUCCUCUGAAAAUACAACAUUUUUUUAACGUUA
This is a long non-coding RNA of Zootermopsis nevadensis, 619 nucleotides long. RefSeq lists it as uncharacterized. The record is from RefSeq and is a predicted model, not a curated record. NCBI's taxonomy places the organism in Eukaryota, Metazoa, Arthropoda, Insecta, Blattodea, Termopsidae.